This 172-nucleotide unclassified non-coding RNA is filed under the name fungal sp. Its description in RNAcentral is "partial internal transcribed spacer region". The stretch from base 1 to 46 matches the Rfam family "Eukaryotic small subunit ribosomal RNA", at positions 1786 to 1831 of the family's 1831-position model. Lineage: Eukaryota; Fungi. The record is from RNAcentral.
AAGUCGUAACAAGGUUUCCGUAGGUGAACCUGCGGAAGGAUCAUCGUUGUGAUAUCUUUGAUACCUGUGGGUUUUUUUCCAGAUCCCAACCAAAAGGAAGAGGCGUUGACUGAGGUUUGUUUUGGAGAGAGAAAAAGGACAAAACUUUCAACAACGGAUCUCUUGGCUCUCA